Bombus pyrosoma is the source of this 1247-nucleotide long non-coding RNA. RefSeq lists it as uncharacterized. NCBI's taxonomy places the organism in Eukaryota, Metazoa, Arthropoda, Insecta, Hymenoptera, Apidae. The record is from RefSeq and is a predicted model, not a curated record. The transcript has 4 exons.
GUUUACGGUAUAUAGUAUGACGAAUUGUAAUAUUCUAUCUCUAUUACACAUUAGCAUAAGGAUAUGUUCUUCCGAUGCGCGAAUCUGCUAAUAAAGGUUCAAGCUUGAGUCACGUUCAGUGGAAACGUGACCUAAUGUACGUAUGUUGACAAGUUAGUAAAUAGAUGCUGUAAAAUAUCUUGCACGCAAGUAUCUUAGUAUCGAGGUUACUGACAAAACGUAUACAUAGAGCAAAGAAGCAAAAUAACUACUGAGAUAAAAGUUUAUUUCUAUAAUAUCCAAUUCUUGGUAGUGGCAUCGAUGAAUUGUAUUAAAAGUAUUUAUACCUACAGUGACUCGCAAAGCCUUGUAAAGUUUUUAAAUUUUGACAUUUCAUCAGCACUAUAAUGAGACUUAACUGCUACGAUUCUAUUGGCAAGAUUUGAAUGCAAUCUGAAAAUUGUACACAAAAGUAGCAAGACAUUUACUUAUAUCUACUAAGAAAUAUUAGUAUACUAUGUGAAUAGUCACCUCUAGUAUACAAAAAGUAUGAAAGAUGAUCCCACUGAAUACCAAGACUUAUUAAUAUUGUGGAUGAUUGCUUGUUUAAGUAAUAAUAUAAUAAUUAAGUAAUAAUUUCUGUACAUUUUCAGAGUCCAUUAUUUAUAUAAAUAUGGCAAUCCAGUGUCUCUACGUGAAAUUUCAAAACGUUUCGUAUAAUAGAAAAGAUGUCGACAAGUGAAGAAAUACUUCUGUGAGCCACUGUAAAUGAUCGAUGUUUCAAAGGUAGACGAUAAGGUAGACUGUACGGCGACUUGGGACAGCGUGUCAAACUUGGUCGACUAAAUAACGAAAUACUAUUGUAGGCGUGAUAGAUUGACAGUCUGAUAGAAUGUUUAAAGCUGUUCGACACGAUUGUGAGAAAAGACGUCUGGCGUAGCCCGCGGACAGAGGCGCAGUGAAAGCCGGCGGUGACGUUUUGGCUUCACCAAGGUGAAGUAAGGAGUAACGUGAUGAGACUAUAGUCUCAUAGCUCUAAGUCCUAUGAUUAGUUAAUUUAUUUUUGGAGAAAACAAAUCAUUCGAAGACAAGGACGUAUACGUAUGCACAUGCUUUUGGAAAAAGGGUAAAAUUAAACUUUUCUAAACAAAUCAUACAUACUCCUCUUUUUUACAGAGAAAAUAAAAAGAGAAUAAAACAAUAUUUCAUUUUUAUAGCCUUCAGUAGUUCCAUAUCUAUGUUAUCGGGCAUAUUUCUUGAGAAUUUGA